AUUGAACGCUGGCGGCAUGCCUUACACAUGCAAGUCGAACGGCAGCGCGGACUUCGGUCUGGCGGCGAGUGGCGAACGGGUGAGUAAUACAUCGGAACGUACCCUGUUGUGGGGGAUAACUAGUCGAAAGAUUAGCUAAAACCGCAUACGACCUGAGGGUGAAAGUGGGGGACCGCAAGGCCUCACGCAGCAGGAGCGGCCGAUGUCUGAUUAGCUAGUUGGUGGGGUAAAGGCCCACCAAGGCGACGAUCAGUAGCUAGUCUGAGAGGACGAUCAGCCACACUGGGACUGAGACACGGCCCAGACUCCUACGGGAGGCAGCAGUGGGGAAUUUUGGACAAUGGGGGCAACCCUGAUCCAGCAAUGCCGCGUGUGUGAAGAAGGCCUUCGGGUUGUAAAGCACUUUUGUCCGGAAAGAAAUCGCGCUGGUUAAUACCUGGCGUGGAUGACGGUACCGGAAGAAUAAGCACCGGCUAACUACGUG
RNAcentral lists this ribosomal RNA (484 nucleotides) under uncultured bacterium. Its description in RNAcentral is "partial 16S ribosomal RNA". It matches the Rfam family "Bacterial small subunit ribosomal RNA", at positions 30 to 507 of the family's 1533-position model. The record is from RNAcentral.